RNAcentral lists this long non-coding RNA (315 nucleotides) under Elaeis guineensis (African oil palm). RNAcentral's name for it is "long non-coding RNA (EGUI_LNC035193)". The record is from RNAcentral. Lineage: Eukaryota; Viridiplantae; Streptophyta; Magnoliopsida; Arecales; Arecaceae.
UGAGGAUUUUUCUUGCAGGUGCGCGACCCCGGCGAUCGAACGAUGGAGGGAUUGGCCGCAACAGAUUUGACGCACCAGGCAGGGGAUUAUUCGACAGAGGUAAGACAACGAGCUCCACAGAGCUUGAAAAAAUCUCUCGAGAUGACGAAAAUCAGGACUCAGCGAUCAAGAGCUACCAGAUCAACGAGGCACUCUUCCCGUCGGGAAGAGGCCCCUCCACCUUCCAUGGUGGAAUCCAGCUCUCCGCACCCGGUAGUAACCACGGAGGUGCAGAUCACGGCAAUCGUGCGGUAAAUGACCGUUCUGACGGACGCG